This 326-nucleotide ribosomal RNA is filed under the name uncultured eukaryote. RNAcentral's name for it is "partial 18S ribosomal RNA". It matches the Rfam family "Eukaryotic small subunit ribosomal RNA", at positions 1470 to 1796 of the family's 1831-position model. The record is from RNAcentral.
CCCUUAGAUGUUCUGGGCCGCACGCGCGCUACACUGAUGCAUUCAACGAGUAAUCUUUGACCUUGGUCGACAGAUCUGGGUAAUCUUUUGAAAUUGCAUCGUGAUGGGGCUUGCGGGUUGCAAUUACCCGCACCAACGAGGAAUUCCUAGUAAACGCAAGUCAUCAACUUGCAUUGAUUACGUCCCUGCCCUUUGUACACACCGCCCGUCGCUCCUACCGAUUGAGCGAUCCGGUAAAUGUUUUGGAUUGGUGCCGGGGCGGCUAGCUGCCGGUCGCUACGAAAUUUUGUGAACCUUAUCGCUUAGAGGAAGGAAAAGUCGUAACA